Molecule: ribosomal RNA, 399 nt
Filed under: uncultured bacterium
Lineage: Bacteria
Description: partial 16S ribosomal RNA
Rfam family: Bacterial small subunit ribosomal RNA
Source: RNAcentral
UGGGGGAAUAUUGCACAAUGGGCGAAAGCCUGAUGCAGCAACGCCGCGUGAGUGAUGAAGGUCUUCGGAUUGUAAAGCUCUGUCUUUUGGGACGAUAAUGACGGUACCAAAGGAGGAAGCCACGGCUAACUACGUGCCAGCAGCCGCGGUAAUACGUAGGUGGCGAGCGUUGCCCGGAUUUACUGGGCGUAAAGGGUGCGUAGGCGGAUGUUUAAGUGAGAUGUGAAAUACCCGGGCUUAACUUGGGUGCUGCAUUUCAAACUGGAUAUCUAGAGUGCAGGAGAGGAGAAUGGAAUUCCUAGUGUAGCGGUGAAAUGCGUAGAGAUUAGGAAGAACACCAGUGGCGAAGGCGAUUCUCUGGACUGUAACUGACGCUGAGGCACGAAAGCGUGGGUAGCA